AACGCGAAGAACCUUACCCAGACUUGACAUGUAGCGGACAGUGGCAGAAAUGUCAUCUCCCGAAAGGGCCGCUACACAGGUGCUGCAUGGCUGUCGUCAGCUCGUGCCGUGAGGUGUUGGGUUAAGUCCCGCAACGAGCGCAACCCUUAUCAUUAGUUGCCAACAUUUAAGGUGGGAACUCUAAUGAGACUGCCUGGGUUAACCAGGAGGAAGGUGAGGAUGAGGUCAAGUCAGCAUGGCCCUUAUGUCUGGGGCCACACACGUGCUACAAUGGCCGGUACAGAAGGCAGCAAAGCCGUAAGGUGGAGCAAAUCCCUAAAGCCGGUCUCAGUUCAGAUUGUAGUCUGCAACUCGACUACAUGAAGUUGGAAUUGCUAGUAAUGGCGGGUCAGCCACACCGCCGUGAAUACGUUCCCGGGCCUUGUACACACCGACGCGUA
This 440-nucleotide ribosomal RNA is filed under the name uncultured bacterium. RNAcentral's name for it is "bacterial SSU rRNA". It matches the Rfam family "Bacterial small subunit ribosomal RNA", at positions 958 to 1399 of the family's 1533-position model. The record is from RNAcentral.